This 532-nucleotide ribosomal RNA is filed under the name uncultured Alphaproteobacteria bacterium. RNAcentral's name for it is "bacterial SSU rRNA". It matches the Rfam family "Bacterial small subunit ribosomal RNA", at positions 33 to 611 of the family's 1533-position model. Lineage: Bacteria; Pseudomonadati; Pseudomonadota; Alphaproteobacteria. The record is from RNAcentral.
ACGCUGGCGGCAGGCCUAAUACAUGCAAGUCGAGCGCGCCCUUCGGGGUGAGCGGCGGACGGGUGAGUAACGCGUGGGAAUAUGCCCUUCUCUAAGGAAUAGCCUCUGGAAACGGAGAGUAAUACCUUAUACGCCCUUUGGGGGAAAGAUUUAUCGGAGAAGGAUUAGCCCGCGUUAGAUUAGGUAGUUGGUGGGGUAAUGGCCUACCAAGCCUACGAUCUAUAGCUGGUUUGAGAGGAUGAUCAGCCACACUGGGACUGAGACACGGCCCAGACUCCUACGGGAGGCAGCAGUGGGGAAUAUUGGACAAUGGGGGCAACCCUGAUCCAGCAAUGCCGCGUGUGUGAUGAAGGCCUUAGGGUUGUAAAGCACUUUCACUUGGGAAGAUGAUGACGGUAACCAGAGAAGAAGCCCCGGCUAACUUCGUGCCAGCAGCCGCGGUAAUACGAAGGGGGCGAGCGUUGUUCGGAAUUACUGGGCGUAAAGGGCGCGUAGGCGGUCUUUUAAGUUAGGCGUGAAAGCCCCGGGCUCA